Molecule: long non-coding RNA, 449 nt
Filed under: Phaseolus vulgaris (common bean)
Lineage: Eukaryota; Viridiplantae; Streptophyta; Magnoliopsida; Fabales; Fabaceae
Description: long non-coding RNA (PVUL_LNC004386)
Source: RNAcentral
CUUAUGAUAAAGAAGAACCUCUAUACAGAAGAACCUGUAUACAGAAGAACCUCUAUACAGAAGAACCUCUAUACAGAAGCCUUGUCUUUUGGUCAAAUAAAAAAAAGGUUCAUGUCUAUUUACAACACAAAGUACAAAUAGUAAUUGAUGUGAUUUGUACAUAAAUAAAACAUUAUGAUACUAGAACUAUAAUUUCUAUUUGCUUUAGUUGAAUAUCUUCUUUUAUUCGAUUCGAUUUUUUGAAUUGUUUAUUUGACAAUAGUCGAUGCUAGUCACAAUAGAAAUUUCAACGAACUUAGUCAAUGAGCUAUAAUGAGUUAUAAAGAUAUAUCUAUAGAUAAAAAAGACACAAAUAAAAACAUUUUAUGUAAUUUUAUGUACAGUAGUGGGGAAUUAUGGGACAAAAAAUCCGCUUGGUUUCAGACUUGGUACAACUCAAAGUCAUCAUU